UCCAACCUCUGCGUUUUUGGACUGGUAAGACCAAUCACAAUCUAUUGUUUAUCAAUGAGGUCAUCGUGAUGCUUUUUCAGCAUUUUCAGCCUGUUUAAAAGUGUUGUCGUAACGGAAAUGCGAUCAACUUUCUGAUUGAACUUCGAUUCACCAGGGUCAACAUCGGCGAAUUCAAGCGACAUAUCGUUGAACACAAACUUGUUUGUUAUGAAACUAGAGCUCGCUUGAGCGCAUAAAUUGAGGGUUGUAAAGAGAAUAGAGUUUGUAAGAGAGCCGACAUGAGAGAGGACUAUGAGAGAUGAUGAGAGAGGG
This 312-nucleotide long non-coding RNA is filed under the name Brassica napus (rape). RNAcentral describes it as "long non-coding RNA (BNAP_LNC005843)". The record is from RNAcentral. Lineage: Eukaryota; Viridiplantae; Streptophyta; Magnoliopsida; Brassicales; Brassicaceae.